AGCGAACGCUGGCGGCAGGCUUAACACAUGCCAGUCGAGCGGGCAUCCUUGUGGUGUCAGCGGCAGACGGGUGAGUAACGCGUGGGAACGUGUCCUUCGGUUCGGAAUAACUCAGGGAAACUUGAGCUAAUACCGGAUACGUGCGAGAGCAGAAAGGUUUAUCUGCCGAAGGAUCGGCCCGCGUCUGAUUAGCUAGUUGGUGAGGUUAUGGCUCACCAAGGCGACGAUCAGUAGCUGGUCUGAGAGGAUGAUCAGCCACACUGGGACUGAGACACGGCCCAGACUCCUACGGGAGGCAGCAGUGGGGAAUAUUGGACAAUGGGGGCAACCCUGAUCCAGCCAUGCCGCGUGAGUGAUGACGGCCUUAGGGUUGUAAAGCUCUUUUCUCCGGGACGAUAAUGACGGUACCGGAGGAAUAAGCCCCGGCUAACUUCGUG
RNAcentral lists this ribosomal RNA (437 nucleotides) under uncultured bacterium. Its description in RNAcentral is "partial 16S ribosomal RNA". It matches the Rfam family "Bacterial small subunit ribosomal RNA", at positions 29 to 507 of the family's 1533-position model. The record is from RNAcentral.